AGCCACUGUGCCUGGCUGAGACUGGGUAAUUUAUAAGAAAAGAAAUUUAAUUGGCUCACGGUUCUGAAGACUGUACAGGAAGCAUAGUGGCAUCUGCUUCUGGGGAGGCCUCAGGAAGCUUCCAAUCAUGGUGGAAGGUGAAUGGGGAGGAGGCGCAUCACAUGGUGAAAUCAAGAGUGAGAGACAGAGUGCCACACACUCUUAAAUGACCAGAUCUCAUGAAAACUCACUCCCUAUCACAAGAACAGCAGCAAGG
This 256-nucleotide long non-coding RNA is filed under the name Homo sapiens (human). Its description in RNAcentral is "HSALNT0224505". The record is from RNAcentral. Lineage: Eukaryota; Metazoa; Chordata; Mammalia; Primates; Hominidae.